GAGAGCUUGUGGAGAGGCAGAGAGAGAGAACAUGUGGAGAGGCAGAGAGAGAGAAUGUGGAGAGGCAGAGAGAGAGAGGGUGGAUAGGCAGAGAGAGAGAGCUUGUGGAGAGGCAGAGAGAGAGAGAAUGUGGAGAGGCAGAGAGAGAGAGAGGGUGGAUAGGCAGAGAGAGAGAGAAUGUGGAGAGGCAGAGAGAGAGCAUGUGGAGAGGCAGAGAGAGAGCUUGUGGAUAGGCAGAGAGAGAGAAUGUGGAGAGGCAGAGAGAGAGUGUGGAUAGGCAGAGAGAGAGAGAGAGAGAGAGUGUGGAUAGGCAGAGAGAGAGAAAGUGUGGAUAGGCAGAGAGCGAGAGUGUGUGGAUAGGCAGAGAGAGAGUGUGGAUAGGCAGAGAGAGAGAGUGUGUGGAUAGGCAGAGAGAGAGAGUGUGUGUGGAUAGGCAGAGAGAGAGUGUGUGGAUAGGCAGAGAGAGAGUGCGUGUGGAUAGGCAGAGAGAGAGCAUGUGGAGAGGCAGAGAGAGAGCAUGUGGAGAGGCAGAGAAAGAGUGUGGAGAGGCAGAGAAAGAGUGUGGAGAGGCAGAGAGAGAGCGUGUGGAGAGGCAGAGAAAGAGUGUGGAGAGGCAGAGAAAGAGUGUGGAGAGGCAGAGAAAGAGUGUGGAGAGGCAGAGAAAGAGUGUGGAGAGGCAGAGAGAGAGUGUGGAGAGGCAGAGAAAGAGUGUGGAGAGGCAGAGAGAGAGCGUGUGGAGAGGCAGAGAGAGCAUGUGGAGAGGCAGAGAGAGAGUGUGGAGAGGCAGAGAGAGAGCGUGUGGAGAGGCAGAGAGAGCAUGUGGAGAGGCAGAGAGAGAGCGUGUGGAGAGGCAGAGAGAGAGUGUGUGGAUAGGCAGAGAGAGAGUGUGUGGAUAGGCAGAGAGAGAGUGUGUGGAGAGGCAGAGAGAGCGAGCGUGUGGAGAGGCAGAGAGAGCGAGUGUGCGGAUAGGCAGAGAGAGUGCGUGUGGAUAGGCAGAGAGAGAGAGAGUGUGGAGAGGCAGAGAGAGGUGUGAAGAGGCAGAGAAAGAGUGCGGAGAGACAGAGAGAGAUAGUGUGUAGAGGCAGAGAAAGAGUGUGUGGAGAGGCAGAUAAUGAGUGUGGAGAGGCAGAGAAAGAAGAAAGAUUGUGGAGAGGCAGAGAAAGAGUGUGGAGAGGCAGAUAAAGAGUGUGGAGAGGCAGAGAGGGAGUGUGUGGAGAGGCAGAGAAAGAGUGUGGAGAGGCAGAGAGAGAGCGUGUGGAGAGGCAGAGAGAGAGCAUAUGGAGAGGCAGAGAGAGAGCGUGUGGAGAGGCAGAGAGAGAGCGUGUGGAGAGGCAGAGAGAGAGCGUUUGGAGAGGCAGAGAGAAAGCGUGUGGAGAGGCAGAGAGAGCGUGUGGAGAGGCAGAGAGAGCGUGUGGAGAGGCAGAGAGAGAGCAUGUGGAGAGGCAGAGAGAGAGCAUGUGGAGAGGCAGAGAGAGAGCGUGUGGAGAGGCAGAGAGAGAGCAUGUGCAGAGGCAGAGAGAGAUUAUGUGGAGAGGCAAAGAGAGAGAUUAUGUGGAGAGGCAAAGAGAGAGAUUAUGCGGAGAGGCAGAGAAAGAGAGUGUGGAGAGGCAGAGAGAGAGUGUGUGGAGAGGCAGAGAGAGAGAAUGCGGAGAGGCAGAGAGAGAGAGUGUGGAGAGGCAGAGAGAGAGAGAGUGUGGAGAGGCAGAGAGAGAGAAUGCGGAGAGGCAGAGAGAGAGAGUGUGGAGAGGCAGCGAGAGAGAGUGUGGAGAGGCAGAGAGAGAGUAUGCGGAGAGGCAGAGAGAGAGAGUGUGGAGAGGCAGCGAGAGAGAGUGUGGAGAGGCAGAGAGAGAGUAUGUGGAGAGGCAGAGAGAGAGAGUGUGGAGAGGCAGCGAGAGAGAAUGCGGAGAGGCAGAGAACGAAUGUGGAGAGGCAGAGAAAGAUUGUGGAGAGGCAGAGAAAGAGUGUGGAGAGGCAGAGAAAGAGUGUGGAGAGGCAGAGAGGGAGCAUGCGGAGAGGCAGAGAGAGAGCGUGUGG
Long non-coding RNA from Oncorhynchus tshawytscha (Chinook salmon), 2034 nucleotides. NCBI's taxonomy places the organism in Eukaryota, Metazoa, Chordata, Actinopteri, Salmoniformes, Salmonidae. The record is from Ensembl.